This 1180-nucleotide long non-coding RNA is filed under the name Equus caballus (horse). Its description in RNAcentral is "lncRNA (ENSECAG00000053942.1)". The record is from RNAcentral. Lineage: Eukaryota; Metazoa; Chordata; Mammalia; Perissodactyla; Equidae.
AUUGUCCAAUAUGCACAGCCCUUUGAUCCAAUGAAGCACGUGUGCGCAUGCGUCGUGUCCCUGUUAAACGGCGAAUAGGGCCCUGAGCAGACCGUGCCUUUAGUCCGGGGAAGCUCCGGGUUUAGGUGGGUCUCUCGGUUGGGCUUUCCCCCACCAAGGACCCCUUUUUCCCCUGCAGAAGCCACGUUUGCAGCACCACAUCCCCCGGAUGACCGUGCCCGCUGACUCACCGGAGGCUUCAUAACUCGGGAGGCUCUGUCCAUUUCUCACAUCCACAAGUCCAUCUUCUCUUGGCUCAAAGCUCUCCCUUGGGUACACUGUAUCAGGAAUGGGAUAAGAUCUGCGGUUAAUACUGUGAUCAGGAAGCUGCAAAUGGAACUGGAGCAGAGAAAAAGAGGAAAGAAGAAGUGUUAACUAGGGGGUCCUGUUAAAAGGGGGAAACUGCCUCCAGAAGCCUGGCUCAGCUCCAGGCAAGAGAGAAACAGACUGGGGGAGCUGGCAGAUCAGGGAAGUUACAGUCACUGAGUCAUUCUGGUGAAGUUUGGCCUGGUUCUGUGAAACUGAGCCACCGGCCUCCAACUCUGGGAUCAGUAGCCCCAGGCCCUUGUCUUUGCAGAGUUCUUAGUGGUUGGCAGCAUCCUGGAACAUCCAAGGAAGGAUACGCUCUAGAGUGGGGCUAGCAGCUGCCAAGGCUUCUAAAAAGACCUCAAAAUCCACCAGCCUCAUGGCAAAGAAGAACAAGUCCCAACUUUUCUUGCUUCAGAGCCCUGGAGGAGCUAUUUGAACUGCUGUCCAGACCCCCAGCUGUGCACAGCCAUUCCAGGACCAAGUGGAUGCCAAGGUGCCUGACAGAGCUGAGUUGUGCUGGAAACACAAAACCGUCCAACCAUUCACUGAGAAAUUCUACCCAGGACCCAGGGAACCAGGUUUUCUUCCAGCUCUUCUGCAAAACAAAGAAGUAAAUAAAUGUGUCUUCAUUAUUAAAUUUUAUUGUAUGAACCCCAAAUAGGCUUAAGAGAGGCCCCUUUGAUUGGUGGGUCCUGUCAAAACCCAAACUCUGCAUCCUGAAUAAAACAAAGCCGAAGGAUGAGUUCAUUGUAAGCCUUUUGACCUGCAAGCCAGGGAACUCAAGGCUAUGGGAGCAAUGAGUUCUAAGUUGCUCACAGAUUAAGGGAUUUUU